AACUUUUAGCAAUGGAUCUCUUGGCUCUCGCAUCGAUGAAGAACGCAGCGAAAUGCGAUAAGUAAUGCGAAUUGCAGAGCAGUGAGUCAUCGAAUCUUUGAACGCACAUUGCGCCCUUUGGCAUUCCGAAGGGCAUGCCUGUUCGAGCGUCAUUAUCAACCCUCAAGCCUGGCUUGCUGUUGGACCUUCGUCGUUAAAGACGGGUCCCAAAGACAAUGACGGAGUCAGUCGGACCCCUAGAUGCAACGAGCUUUUAUUAGCACGCAUUGAUGGACCGAUUGUUCUGGUCUACACCAAAUUUUUCUAAGGUUGACCUCGGAUCAGGUAGGAAUACCCGCUGAACUUAAGCAUAUCAAUAAGCGGAGGCU
RNAcentral lists this unclassified non-coding RNA (368 nucleotides) under uncultured Chaetothyriales. RNAcentral's name for it is "sequence contains ITS2". The stretch from base 1 to 152 matches the Rfam family "5.8S ribosomal RNA". The record is from RNAcentral. Lineage: Eukaryota; Fungi; Ascomycota; Eurotiomycetes; Chaetothyriales.